This 3280-nucleotide long non-coding RNA is filed under the name Callithrix jacchus (white-tufted-ear marmoset). RNAcentral's name for it is "lncRNA (ENSCJAG00000084595.1)". The record is from RNAcentral. Lineage: Eukaryota; Metazoa; Chordata; Mammalia; Primates; Cebidae.
ACUGAAGAUGCUAACGCCCAUUAUAUUCUUACAAUUACUAUUCUAUACUACUGGUAUUAGUGCUAUUACCAAAGAAAAACACUUAUUGAGUGUUUAAUAUGUUUCAAGCACUGUGCUAUCCACUUAAUUUCUAUCAUAUAUCUAUAAAUUAUUAUUGUAUUGUUAUCCCUAACAAUAUCACCUCCUAUGCACCUGAUUUCUCUGUCCCCUCACACCCGCUUGCUUCCAUUGCUCCCACCAUGGCAGUGCCCAUCUGCUCCUCCCCGCUCACUCAGGUCUGCUGCUCGGGACGCCUUUGUGUCCCCAGGUGCUGAUGGAGCUCCAGGAGCUGUCCGUGGUCCUGAAACUAUGCCGGCCGAGGCUCCGGCUGUGACUGGGCGAAUGAGCGCUGUCCGUAGUGCUGAAGAGGUUCCUGGGCCCCGGCAGUGGCGGCAGCGGUGCCUGGGAGGCCGGCAGCCGGAAGACCACCAGAGUCUCGUUCUGCUGCCAGCCUGGAGUGCAGUGGCACGAUCUCAGCUCACUGUAACCUCUGCGUCCCAGGUUCAAGAGAUUCUUCUGACUCAGCCUCCCGAGUAGCUGAGACUACGGGUCUCCCAAAGUGUUAGGAUUACAGGCUCGAGUCACCGCGCCCGACGAGGCUCUGCUCCUUCUGCACGAUGGCCCUGAACUCUUUGAGGUAGAGCCCGGCGCACCAGAUUCUACGGCAGCCUCUCCAAGCCGCCCACCCGCCUGUGCCCUGUGUGCGCGGGUGGCGGGGAACUUGAAGGAGCGGGAUCCUAGCAGCCCAGCGUUUGGCUUGCUUCCUUCUCCCCCGGACCUUACUUCCCUCCCGCCGCUGGCGCCACGUCACCUCCACCCUGGCCUUCACACACCCACCGUGGGGUGGUGCCAAGACACAGGGCAGCCCCUCCUGUCUUGGCGUCCAGAGGAGGCUCUUACUCGCCAGAUAUAGAGAAGAGGGAGAAAGCCAGCAAGACGUUCGGGUGUGGGAGGGAAGCAGUAUAAAUGCAGGGACUGUAGAAGGAUGGUGAAUCUGACUGGCGAGACGCAAAAGUGAGUGAGUGAGUGAGUGAAAAGGAAGCAGCCAUACUGGGAAGGUGCGGUCAGGCCGGUAGGAGAAGAGAAACAGAUAAGAAAGAAAGAGAAGGGGAGAGGCUGGCAGAGAGGAAGCGGAAAAAACGAAGGUGAGGCAAAGGGAGAGACAAACGUGCUGGAGGAGAGAAAGGUGUGAGACCCUGAAGUGGUGAAUUCUUUUCCCUGGCCCAGCCCUUCCAGAGGCCCGGGUCCAUCUAGAGACCUGCUGAGAAGAGGCCACACUGGCCUGUUUUGCUCCCAACAAUUUUAUUCUGCCAGGGAAUUCCCUAAAACUUAAGGAUCCUGGAGCUCUAAGGAACCCUAGAGAACACCUAGUGCCGCUCCUUCCUUCAGCCAUGAGGAAAGUUGGGAUGGGAAGAUUGUUCAUGCUGGUUUUCUCUGGGAAUGAGACCUCGGGACAGUUUUGGCAGUUCCUACUAGGAACACAAACUAAAUAAACCAGGCCCUCUGUGGAAAGGAUAACACUUCUAGAAACUUCUGAAUAGAUCAUUCUAUCUGACAAACAUUUACGAACUGCACACAAUUACCAAACAUUAGGCUAGAUGGCAGUAAGAUAAGGAUUAGAAGGAGAAAAUCUUUGGCUUCUUGAAGUUUAUUAAUAAGUGGGUGAAAUGGGUCAUAAUUUUGAUGUAUGGUGGUGGUGGCAGUGAUAAGGUAGAGAUUUGCCCAGAGUGCUGUAGAAGCCAGCAGCUGGGAGAUCCAGGAAUGCUUCUUGGAGGAAGUAACCCUUGAGGUGGCGAGGGUUUUCCAAGAAGGGAGAGGAUAGCAUGAGCAAAAGCUUAGAGAUAUUAAUAAUUGUGGACUGAUAAUCAUGGCCUUGUGCGCAUGCCUUGUCAUGCCAAUCCGUUAGGGAAAAUGUGAUACAUAUACACCAUGGAAUAUUAUGCAGCUAUCAAAAACACUGAGUUCAUGCCCUUUGUAGGGACAUGGAUGAAUCUGGAGAACAUUAUUCUCAGCAAACUGACACAAGAACAGAAAAUGAAAUACCGCAUGUUCUCACUCAUAGGCGGGUGAUGAAUGGUGAGAACACAUGGACACAGGGAGGGGAGCACUACACACUGGGGUCUAUUGGGGGGAAUAGGGGAGGGACAGUGUGGGGCGGGGGGAGCUGGGUAGGGAUAGCAUGGGGAGAAAUGCCAGAUGAGGGUGAAGGGGAGGAAGGCAGCAAAUCACACUGCCACGUGUGUACCUAUGCAACUAUCUUGCAUGUUCUGCACAUGUACCCCAAAACCUAAAAUGCAAUUAAAAAAAAAAAAAAGAUUUCGAGCCUUUUGUGCUCGCCUCUCCCUCCAGGACCUAUUGCGCGUGCCGCUCCCUACCCCUCCCCUAACCCGCAGUUGCCAGUAGCUACCUUGUGCCAGUACCUUGCCGCGCCAAUCCGUUAAGGUCCCAGGUCCUUAGUGCGUGAGCCUCUCCCUACAGUACCCCUUGCGCGCGCCGCCCCUUCCGUUGCCAUCAGGUGCCUUAUUGCGCGAACCUUGCCGGCUAAACCGUUAACGGCUGGCGUCCUUUGUGCGCCCACCUCUCCUUCCGGUACCUAUCAGGCGCCCCUUCUACCCCGCGCCCUCCCCCGCAGCCACUGCUCGCAGGUGCCUCAAGAGCAUAUUUUGCUCCCCACCCCCCACCCCACUUCGCAUUGCCAGCGGGUGCCUGGCGCGCAUACCUUGUCGCGGGAAUCCCAUAAGGUCACUCUUCUGGUGCGGAUCCGUCACUCUCGCCGGUCUUUGUAUGCGCCUCACUCGCUCAGGUUUGAAUGAUGCGUUUCCUGGCAACAGGAGAAUGCUCCCUUAGCCUUUGGCCGAGUUGGCAGCAGACAGGAGGACGCUCAGAGCCCAGCUCUAGAGAGCUCAAGAAUCCGAAAAUACCCCACUGCUCCCAGGAGCGGUUACCUGGGCACUCCGUACACUUUAUCCCUGUCCCAGUUCCGUCCCAGGGCCGAGGACCCGCCAGUAGGACUCAGUUGCCUUGAGCCUGCUGCCCGCAUCCCUCACUUCACUUUGCUUGUGGGGUCUCUCUGUUGCUCCCGCCCCUGGACGGAGUGGCAAGCCUUCCUACAAGUACCCAGGCACUUGGAAUCAGCCUGGUGUAGAAACAACUUCAAGGAUUUCUGUAUCCUACAAGCCCUGCGCUCCGACCGGGGAUCCUGGUUUCAAUUUGAGGCACAGGUAUGGCAGCAAGCCAGUGC